GCGCACGGGUGAGUAACACGUGAAUGAUCUACUCCGAGUGGGGAAUAACUGAGAGAAAUCUUAGCUAAUACCGCAUAACACUUACGAGUCAAAGCAGCAAUGCGCUUGGAGAGGAGUUCGCGGCCGAUUAGCUAGUUGGCGGGGUAAUGGCCCACCAAAGGCGAUGAUCGGUAUCCGGCCUGAGAGGGCGCACGGACACACUGGAACUGAAACACGGUCCAGACUCCUACGGGAGGCAGCAGUGGGGAAUUUUGCGCAAUGGGGGAAACCCUGACGCAGCAACGCCGCGUGGAGGAUGAAGUACUUCGGUACGUAAACUCCUUUCGAUCGGGACGAUAAUGACGGUACCGGAAGAAGAAGCCCCGGCUAACUUCGUGCCAGCAGCCGCGGUAAUACGAGGGGGGCAAGCGUUGUUCGGAAUUAUUGGGCGUAAAGGGUGCGUAGGCGGUUUGGUAAGUCUUGUGUGAAAUCUCCGGGCUCAACUCGGAGUCUGCAUAGGAAACUGCCGGGCUUGAGUGUGGGAGAGGUGAGUGGAAUUUCCGGUGUAGCGGUGAAAU
Molecule: ribosomal RNA, 557 nt
Filed under: uncultured bacterium
Lineage: Bacteria
Description: bacterial SSU rRNA
Rfam family: Bacterial small subunit ribosomal RNA
Source: RNAcentral